UACCGCGUGGGUGAAGAAGGCCUUCGGGUUGUAAAGCCCUUUUGUUGGGAAAGAAAAGCAAUCGAUUAAUACUCGGUUGUUCUGACGGUACCCAAAGAAUAAGCACCGGCUAACUUCGUGCCAGCAGCCGCGGUAAUACGAAGGGUGCAAGCGUUACUCGGAAUUACUGGGCGUAAAGCGUGCGUAGGUGGUUGUUUAAGUCUGUUGUGAAAGCCCUGGGCUCAACCUGGGAAUUGCAGUGGAUACUGGGCAACUAGAGUGUGGUAGAGGGUAGUGGAAUUCCCGGUGUAGCAGUGAAAUGCGUAGAGAUCGGGAGGAACAUCCAUGGCGAAGGCAGCUACCUGGACCAACACUGACACUGAGGCACGAAAGCGUGGGGAGCAAACAGGAUUAGAUACCCUGGUAGUCCACGCCCUAAACGAUGCGAACUGGAUGUUGGGUGCAAUUUGGCACGCAGUAUCAAAGCUAACGCGUUAAGUUCGCCGCCUGGGGAGUACGGUCGCAAGACUGAAACUCAAAGGAAUUGACGGGGGCCCGCACAAGCGGUGGAGUAUGUGGUUUAAUUCGAUGCAACGCGAAGAACCUUACCUGGUCUUGACAUGUCGAGAACUUUCCAGA
RNAcentral lists this ribosomal RNA (618 nucleotides) under Stenotrophomonas sp. Ri1Pw_5578. Its description in RNAcentral is "bacterial SSU rRNA". It matches the Rfam family "Bacterial small subunit ribosomal RNA", at positions 395 to 1004 of the family's 1533-position model. The record is from RNAcentral. Lineage: Bacteria; Pseudomonadati; Pseudomonadota; Gammaproteobacteria; Lysobacterales; Lysobacteraceae.